UCUCCAGAUACACUCGGGAAGGCGAUGCCACAGAGCUUGGAGCUGAAAGGAAUAACAAAACAUGCUCUUAACCAUCAUCUCCCUCCCGAGAAGCUGGAGGAAAUUUCCCCCACCAGUGACAGUCAUGAGAAAGACAUAAGUUCCCAAAGCGAGUCUGACAUCACAAGAGAAUCACCUUUUACAUCAGCCGAUGCUGGGAAUUCACUGUCUGCUUUUCCAAGUUAUACAGGCGCAGGGAUAUCUACUGAAGGCAACUCAGACUUCUCCUGGGAAUAUGGUGAACUCGAUCAAAAUGCCACUGAAAAAGCCUAGGCAAUGUUCACAGCCAUUGAUGAACCCUUGUAUGAGCAGAAGUUGAGUGUGCAUACCAAGAGUCUACAAGAAGAGCGCCAACAGUGGACAGCUAGCUUUCCUCACCUCAGGAUUCUAGGUAGGCAGAUAAUCAUUCCAAGUGAAGGUUAUAGAUUGUAUCCUAGAUCCCCUUCUGCUGUUUCAGCUUCAUAUGAAACAACCUUGUCUCAAGAAAGAGAUUCUACUAUAUUUGGUAUAAGGGGAAAGAAGUUACAUUUUUCAUCUUCGUAUGCUCAUAAAGCAUCUUCUAUUGCCAAAUCCUCCAGCUUUUCUUUUAUGGAAAGAGACGAGGAAGACUCUAUAAUCAUCUCCGAAGGAAUAAUUGAGGAAUACCUAGCAUUCGAUUGCACAGAUAUGGAAGAGGGAUUUCAUGGGAAGAAAUCAGAAGCAGCUACAGAGAAACAGAAAUUAGGGUAUCCUCCCAUUGCUCCAUUUUACUGCAUGAAAGAAGAUGUCCUUGUUUAUGUGUUUGACAAUGUAUGGAGCAAGGUUGUGAGCUGUAUGGAGCAGUUGACACGUAGUCACUGGGAAGGAUUUGCCCACCAUGAUGAGAGUAAUGUUGCAGUUACCAGACCCGUUUCAGAAAGUUUCUGUGUGCUGAGUGAGCCACAUCCUUUGGUGUUACCACGAGUGCCACAGUCUAAGGUGCUGUCCGUUACCUCAAAUCCAAUGAGUCUCUGUCAAGCAAGUAGUCAUCAGCCAAAUGUUAAUGGUCUCUUGGUUUAUGGGAUGCCUCUACAGCCAAGAAAUCUCUCCCUAAUGGACAAGCUCCUAGAUCUUGAUGACAAGCUACUUAUGAGGCCUGGGUCCAGUACCAUCCUUUCAACUCGAAAUUGGCCAAAUCGAGCUGUGGAGUUUUUAGUACAUCAUCUCUGUCAUACACAGUGCAGUCCACCAAGAGACGCAAUCCAUCGCCACGAACCCUUCAUCCGAUCAGCACAAGCCAUUCACGUGCUGGAAUACCAAGACUUGUGGAAGAAAUCCUCAGAGGAGCCCGAGUCCCAGCGGCAGCCAACUGGCUCUCCUCUCCCUCACCAAUGUCCCUGAGUCGAAAUAAUCUGCUACCACCUACUAGCACAGCUGAAGUGGAACUUGUGAGCACUGUGGGGCCACAAAGACAGACGGAGCCCCGUGGCGACUCCAGUCGAGCUCCAAGUGUGGUGGUGGAUGAACUUAACUAUCAGCAGCCACAAGAAAGGCUCCUUUUGCCCAACUUUUUCUCCAGGCCCAACACAACUCAAUCAUUUUUGGUAGAGUGA
Molecule: long non-coding RNA, 1610 nt
Filed under: Homo sapiens (human)
Lineage: Eukaryota; Metazoa; Chordata; Mammalia; Primates; Hominidae
Description: non-protein coding lnc-SPATA8-1:1
Source: RNAcentral